RNAcentral lists this ribosomal RNA (301 nucleotides) under uncultured bacterium. Its description in RNAcentral is "partial 16S ribosomal RNA". It matches the Rfam family "Bacterial small subunit ribosomal RNA", at positions 509 to 807 of the family's 1533-position model. The record is from RNAcentral.
CAGUAGCCACGGGAAUACGAAGGGGGCUAGCGUUGUUCGGAUUUACUGGGCGUAAAGCGCACGUAGGCGGACUUUUAAGUCAGGGGUGAAAUCCCGGGGCUCAACCCCGGAACUGCCUUUGAUACUGGGAGUCUUGAGUUCGAGAGAGGUGAGUGGAAUUGCGAGUGUAGAGGUGAAAUUCGUAGAUAUUCGCAGGAACACCAGUGGCGAAGGCGGCUCACUGGCUCGAUACUGACGCUGAGGUGCGAAAGCGUGGGGAGCAAACAGGAUUAGAUACCCGUGUAGUCCCUGUCUCUUAUAC